CGACACAAUAACAUCGUAAUGAUAUUAUCUUAAUAUAUUUAUAAAUAAAUAACUGAGUAGUUAAAGUGCAGUGUUUAUUUGAAGAUGAAUAAAAUAAAAGAACAAGACUGGCACGACACAAAUAAUCUUGGUAGCCUCCAACUGAUGUUCACAGAUUUCGAUCAUUGGAUAUGUAGAUUAAAAAAACACAUUCAACUAAGAAACGAACUUUCUACCUCUAGACGUUCUGAAGUUAAGGGAAGCGAUAACAUUACUACGAAUGUAAUAGACCUUAUUUUAAAUAAUAUCAUUGUCAAUGGUAUUAUAUUAAAAGAAAUACUAAAAUAUAGAACUGAUGCAAGUAAAAUAACAAACUUAAAAGAUAAAAAUGAUUUGAUUGAAUUUGAUUAUGUUAUUUAUAGUCUAUUAAAUAAUUAUAUCAAAUGUAAGCUAUGAUUGUACACUUAACGUGGGUUUCUGAGGCCGAAAAUAAUCUUAUAAAACAUAUCUCUGUUGUAUUAAAGAUAAACAAGGAUGACGAUAUGUUUUAUACAUAUGUUUUUGGUCUCAGAAACCAACGGUUAGACAUUGUUACAAUAUUGUGUUCUAGUGGAAUAUUUUAAAUUUAAUGGAGAUAGCAAUUCCUAGAUUCUAUGACAGAUUGUGUCAUAUUUAAUGAGACAAACAUAUCAUUGGGCCUAGCAGGAAGUACGUUUGGGAAAAGUACUGGUGUGAAUUUCGAUAGAAUUAUGAUUAAGGGUGGUAAUUUGUAAAUAUAUUAAACUUUACAUUAGUUGUUUGUUUUUGA
Molecule: long non-coding RNA, 787 nt
Organism: Papilio xuthus (Asian swallowtail)
Lineage: Eukaryota; Metazoa; Arthropoda; Insecta; Lepidoptera; Papilionidae
Exons: 3
Source: RefSeq, a predicted model, not a curated record